AUUGAACGCUGGCGGCAUGCUUUACACAUGCAAGUCGAACGGCAGCACGGGGCGAACCCUGGUGGCGAGUGGCGAACGGGUGAGUAAUAUAUCGGAACAUAUCCGGAAGUGGGGGAUAACGUACCGAAGGUACGCUAAUACCGCAUAUGCCCUGAGGGGAAGGAGGGGAUCGCAAGACCUUUCGCUUUCGGAGUGGCCGAUAUCGGAUUAGCUAGAUGGUGAGGUAAAGGCUCACCAUGGCGACGAUCCGUAGCUGGUCUGAGAGGACGGACCAGCCACACUGGGACUGAGACACGGCCCAGACUCCUACGGGUGGCAG
RNAcentral lists this ribosomal RNA (319 nucleotides) under uncultured Pseudomonadota bacterium. RNAcentral's name for it is "bacterial SSU rRNA". It matches the Rfam family "Bacterial small subunit ribosomal RNA", at positions 30 to 351 of the family's 1533-position model. Lineage: Bacteria; Pseudomonadati; Pseudomonadota. The record is from RNAcentral.